This 492-nucleotide ribosomal RNA is filed under the name uncultured bacterium. RNAcentral's name for it is "partial 16S ribosomal RNA". It matches the Rfam family "Bacterial small subunit ribosomal RNA", at positions 29 to 507 of the family's 1533-position model. The record is from RNAcentral.
AGUGAACGCUGGCGGUAGGCCUAACACAUGCAAGUCGAACGGCAGCACAGUAAGAGCUUGCUCUUACGGGUGGCGAGUGGCGGACGGGUGAGGAAUACAUCGGAAUCUACUUUUUCGUGGGGGAUAACGUAGGGAAACUUACGCUAAUACCGCAUACGACCUACGGGUGAAAGCAGGGGAUCUUCGGACCUUGCGCGAUUGAAUGAGCCGAUGUCGGAUUAGCUAGUUGGCGGGGUAAAGGCCCACCAAGGCGACGAUCCGUAGCUGGUCUGAGAGGAUGAUCAGCAACACUGGAAAUGAGACACGGUCCAGACUCCUACGGGAGGCAGCAGUGGGGAAUAUUGGACAAUGGGCGCAAGCCUGAUCCAGCAAUACCGCGUGGGUGAAGAAGGCCUUCGGGUUGUAAAGCCCUUUUGUUGGGAAAGAAAAGCAGCAGGUUAAUACCCCGCUGUUCUGACGGUACCCAAAGAAUAAGCACCGGCUAACUUCGUG